UACGUAGGCAGCGAGCGUUGUUCGGAGUUACUGGGCGUAAAUCGUGCGUAGGCGGUGUCUUAAGUUUGUUGUGAAAUCUCCCGGCUUAACCGGGAGGGUGCGGCGAAUACUGAGAUGCUGGAGUGCCGGAGAGGUAAGCGGAAUUCCUGGUGUAGCGGUGAAAUGCGUAGAUAUCAGGAGGAACACCUGCGGUGUAGACGGCUUACUGGACGGUAACUGACGCUGAGGCACGAAAGCGUGGGUAGCAAACAGG
Molecule: ribosomal RNA, 253 nt
Filed under: uncultured bacterium
Lineage: Bacteria
Description: partial 16S ribosomal RNA
Rfam family: Bacterial small subunit ribosomal RNA
Source: RNAcentral